This 442-nucleotide ribosomal RNA is filed under the name Enterobacter hormaechei. RNAcentral's name for it is "partial 23S ribosomal RNA". It matches the Rfam family "Bacterial large subunit ribosomal RNA", at positions 2359 to 2800 of the family's 2925-position model. The record is from RNAcentral. Lineage: Bacteria; Pseudomonadati; Pseudomonadota; Gammaproteobacteria; Enterobacterales; Enterobacteriaceae.
AUAAGCCAGCUUGACUGCGAGCGUGACGGCGCGAGCAGGUGCGAAAGCAGGUCAUAGUGAUCCGGUGGUUCUGAAUGGAAGGGCCAUCGCUCAACGGAUAAAAGGUACUCCGGGGAUAACAGGCUGAUACCGCCCAAGAGUUCAUAUCGACGGCGGUGUUUGGCACCUCGAUGUCGGCUCAUCACAUCCUGGGGCUGAAGUAGGUCCCAAGGGUAUGGCUGUUCGCCAUUUAAAGUGGUACGCGAGCUGGGUUUAGAACGUCGUGAGACAGUUCGGUCCCUAUCUGCCGUGGGCGCUGGAGAAUUGAGGGGGGCUGCUCCUAGUACGAGAGGACCGGAGUGGACGCAUCACUGGUGUUCGGGUUGUCAUGCCAAUGGCACUGCCCGGUAGCUAAAUGCGGAAGAGAUAAGUGCUGAAAGCAUCUAAGCACGAAACUUGCCCC